Ailuropoda melanoleuca (giant panda) is the source of this 94-nucleotide small nuclear RNA. The record is from Ensembl. Lineage: Eukaryota; Metazoa; Chordata; Mammalia; Carnivora; Ursidae.
GUGCUCACUUCAGCAGCACAUAUACUAAAAUUGGAAUGAUACAGAGAAGAUUAGCAUGGAGAGACUCUUAACUACAGAGAAUAAACUGAGGGUU